GAUGAACGCUGGCGGCGUGCCUAAUACAUGCAAGUCGAGCGAACGGACGAGAAGCUUGCUUCUCUGAUGUUAGCGGCGGACGGGUGAGUAACACGUGGAUAACCUACCUAUAAGACUGGGAUAACUUCGGGAAACCGGAGCUAAUACCGGAUAAUAUUUUGAACCGCAUGGUUCAAAAGUGAAAGACGGUCUUGCUGUCACUUAUAGAUGGAUCCGCGCUGCAUUAGCUAGUUGGUAAGGUAACGGCUUACCAAGGCAACGAUGCAUAGCCGACCUGAGAGGGUGAUCGGCCACACUGGAACUGAGACACGGUCCAGACUCCUACGGGAGGCAGCAGUAGGGAAUCUUCCGCAAUGGGCGAAAGCCUGACGGAGCAACGCCGCGUGAGUGAUGAAGGUCUUCGGAUCGUAAAACUCUGUUAUUAGGGAAGAACAUAUGUGUAAGUAACUGUGCACAUCUUGACGGUACCUAAUCAGAAAGCCACGGCUAACUACGUGCCAGCAGCCGCGGUAAUACGUAGGUGGCAAGCGUUAUCCGGAAUUAUUGGGCGUAAAGCGCGCGUAGGCGGUUUUUUAAGUCUGAUGUGAAAGCCCACGGCUCAACCGUGGAGGGUCAUUGGAAACUGGAAAACUUGAGUGCAGAAGAGGAAAGUGGAAUUCCAUGUGUAGCGGUGAAUUGCGCAGAGAUAUGGAGGAACACCAGUGGCGAAGGCGACUUUCUGGUCUGUAACUGACGCUGAUGUGCGAAAGCGUGGGGAUCAAACAGGAUUAGAUACCCUGGUAGUCCACGCCGUAAACGAUGAGUGCUAAGUGUUAGGGGGUUUCCGCCCCUUAGUGCUGCAGCUAACGCAUUAAGCACUCCGCCUGGGGAGUACGACCGCAAGGUUGAAACUCAAAGGAAUUGACGGGGACCCGCACAAGCGGUGGAGCAUGUGGUUUAAUUCGAAGCAACGCGAAGAACCUUACCAAAUCUUGACAUCCUUUGACAACUCUAGAGAUAGAGCUUUCCCCUUCGGGGGACAAAGUGACAGGUGGUGCAUGGUUGUCGUCAGCUCGUGUCGUGAGAUGUUGGGUUAAGUCCCGCAACGAGCGCAACCCUUAAGCUUAGUUGCCAUCAUUAAGUUGGGCACUCUAAGUUGACUGCCGGUGACAAACCGGAGGAAGGUGGGGAUGACGUCAAAUCAUCAUGCCCCUUAUGAUUUGGGCUACACACGUGCUACAAUGGACAAUACAAAGGGCAGCGAAACCGCGAGGUCAAGCAAAUCCCAUAAAGUUGUUCUCAGUUCGGAUUGUAGUCUGCAACUCGACUACAUGAAGCUGGAAUCGCUAGUAAUCGUAGAUCAGCAUGCUACGGUGAAUACGUUCCCGGGUCU
RNAcentral lists this ribosomal RNA (1372 nucleotides) under uncultured bacterium. Its description in RNAcentral is "bacterial SSU rRNA". It matches the Rfam family "Bacterial small subunit ribosomal RNA", at positions 28 to 1381 of the family's 1533-position model. The record is from RNAcentral.